RNAcentral lists this long non-coding RNA (1655 nucleotides) under Pan troglodytes (chimpanzee). RNAcentral describes it as "long non-coding RNA NONPTRT008808". Lineage: Eukaryota; Metazoa; Chordata; Mammalia; Primates; Hominidae. The record is from RNAcentral.
CAGACCUAGCCCUCAAUUAUGUGUUUCCUGCAGGAAUACCGUGCUGAGCCUUUGCCUUGAGAAUGCAGAGCUGAAAGAGCAGAUGGGAGAAGCAAUGUCUGAUGGAUGGGAGAUCGAGGAAGACAAGGAGAAGAGCGAGGUGAUGGUUGAGACUGGUAGCCAAAGAGGGUCUGAGUGAGAGUAGCCUUCAGGCUGAGUUCAGAAAGCUCCAGGGAAAACUGAAGAAUGCCCACAAUAUCAUCAACCUCCUCAAAGAACAACUUGUGCUGAGUAGCAAGGAAGGGAAUAGUAAACUUACUCCAGAGCUCCUUGUGCAUCUGACCAGCACCAUCGACGGAAUAAACACAGAACUGGUUGGUUCCCCUGGGAAGCACCAACACCAAGAGGAGGGGAAUGUGACUGUGAGGCCUUUCCCCAGACCCCAGAGCCUUGACCUUGGGGCUACCUUCACAGUGGAUGCCCACCUAGUAAGUGUGGGCUUAGAUUGAGUGAAAAACAAUUGGAGAAGGGCUUGAGAUGACAGUGUUUACCUUAAAACAUUCUCCCAUAUGAAUCAGGAGGUACCAAGAGAAGGUUCUCUGUACCACAAACAAUAGUAAUAAUAUUCUGCCUACAUUCAGCCUUUAGAAAGGCUUUUAUAACAUAAAUAUUUCUUGAGUACUUAAUUUUUCAGAUAACACACUAGGCAUUGGCAUGGGGCAAUAAAACCAAUGGCUGCCCUUGAGAUACUUAAUAUAGUCAGGAAAGAUGGCACACAAACAGGUAAUUUUAACAGGAUGUGGUAAUUGCUGUAACAUAGGGAUUCAUCAGGUUAUGAGGCAGCCCAGACAAGUGGUAUGUAAUGACAUCCCUUAUCACUGCCAUUUUUUUGUCACAGCUCAUCACAGGUGUCUGUUCCUGGACCUCAGAUGGGUUACUGGGAUCCUCUUUAGGGAAGGAGCCGUGCUGAAGAUUCAGUGAAAUGGAGAAUACAGGGAUUCUGAGAGAAUCAAUGGGACAGAAUGCAAGGGGAGAUGAGUGGAGGGUUCCACCCCUUCUCUUUUUGACCACUGAGAAAACAUUUCCUGAGAGCUCCUCUGUAGACUUGAUUGGUGCUGUGCUGUGUGCUGUGGAUACAGAUAUGAAGAAAACUUUAUCCCAGCGCUCCAGGAGCUCCAUCUGGAAAGCAAGUCACUGCCAAAUGGCAUGAGAAGUGCUGUGACAGACUUGAGUAAAGUCCACAGGGUUCAGAAGGGGCGGUGGUCGUCACUGCAUGGGGGUGACCUCAGACUGUCCCGAUCCCUGUAUUGGCCCCUUUCACAGUUGGAUAACCAGUCCCAGCCUCAUGACCCUGGGCCUCAGUCAGCGUUUAGCCUACCAGGGUCCACCCAGCACCUGCGCUCCCAGCUGUCACAAUGCAAACAACGCUAUCAAGAUCUCCAGGAGAAGCUGCUGCUAUCAGAAGCCACUGUCUUUGCUCAGGCUAAUGAGCUGGAGAAAUACAGUGAAUCCUUGGUGAAGCAGGACAGCAAGCAGGUCCAGGUGAACCUCCAGGACCUGGGCUAUGAGACUUGUGGCUGAAGCGAGAAUCAGGCUGAACAGGAGGAAACCACCAGUCCUGAGUGUGAGGAGCACAACAGCCUCAAGGAAGUGAUCCUGAUGGAGGGGCUGUGCUC